Molecule: small nuclear RNA, 98 nt
Organism: Vulpes vulpes (red fox)
Lineage: Eukaryota; Metazoa; Chordata; Mammalia; Carnivora; Canidae
Source: Ensembl
GUACUCACUUUGCUAGCACAUAUACUAAAUUUGAAAAACACAAAGAAGAUUAGUAUGGCUCCUGUGCAAGAAUGACAUGUGAAAUACAAUGAAUCUAU